This 74-nucleotide transfer RNA is filed under the name Escherichia coli. Its description in RNAcentral is "tRNA-Gly". It matches the Rfam family "tRNA". From Rfam's summary of the family: Transfer RNA (tRNA) molecules are approximately 80 nucleotides in length. The record is from RNAcentral. Lineage: Bacteria; Pseudomonadati; Pseudomonadota; Gammaproteobacteria; Enterobacterales; Enterobacteriaceae.
GCGGGCGUAGCUCAAUGGUAGAACGAGAGCUUCCCAAGCUCUAUACGAGGGUUCGAUUCCCUUCGCCCGCUCCA